Pelobates cultripes (western spadefoot toad) is the source of this 232-nucleotide non-coding RNA. Lineage: Eukaryota; Metazoa; Chordata; Amphibia; Anura; Pelobatidae. The record is from the annotation of a GenBank genome assembly.
GGGUGAUGGGGGUCGGGCUAGACCUUUUUUCGUUUUGCCAUGCAGGAAGUGGUGGAACAGGCCUGGUUGGUUUUGGUGGGGCUCCCUGCUGAUUUUAGAUUUAAAACAGCGGGGUUUGUGGUGGUGAGUGUGUCCUUGUCAACAGGGUUGGGGAGCAGAUGGAAUGUCAGGACAUGGUGGGUCUCAACCUCCCUUGCUCUGUAAAGUAAACUUUUAAGUUACCGAAUAGGAC